AACGAACGCUGGCGGCAUGCCUAACACAUGCAAGUCGAACGAAGGCUUCGGCCUUAGUGGCGCACGGGUGCGUAACGCGUGGGAAUCUGCCCCUUGGUUCGGGAUAACUUCUGGAAACGGAAGCUAAUACCGGAUGAUAUCGCGAGAUCAAAGAUUUAUCGCCAGGGGAUGAGCCCGCGUCGGAUUAGCUAGUUGGUGGGGUAAAGGCCUACCAAGGCGACGAUCCGUAGCUGGUCUGAGAGGAUGAUCAGCCACACUGGGACUGAGACACGGCCCAGACUCCUACGGGAGGCAGCAGUGGGGAAUAUUGGACGAUGGGCGCAAGCCUGAUCCAGCAAUGCCGCGUGAGUGAUGAAGGCCUUAGGGUUGUAAAGCUCUUUUACCCGGGAUGAUAAUGACAGUACCGGGAGAAUAAGCCCCGGCUAACUCCGUGCCAGCAGCCGCGGUAA
RNAcentral lists this ribosomal RNA (449 nucleotides) under uncultured bacterium. RNAcentral's name for it is "partial 16S ribosomal RNA". It matches the Rfam family "Bacterial small subunit ribosomal RNA", at positions 29 to 523 of the family's 1533-position model. The record is from RNAcentral.